UGACACUUCAAGCAAAAAUGAUUGACAAAGAAAACAAACUUCAGGAGUUACUGCAAAAUUUUCAAGAUACAGAGCAGAAUUGUGUUAAGUUUCAAGAGGAAGCAAGUAUGAUUAUAUUUACAGUGCUUAAGCUGUUUGGUUUUUAUGAAGUAUGCUUUGUUUUUUUUUUUCACUUGAUGCCUUUGGUACUUGUAUAUGCUGUAAAGAUUUUGCAGUGAACACAUCCAUUCCUAGGACAACACUAUGAAAUGUUUCAAGCUUCUAAACAAGAACAAGAGAGCCUUUUUGAAAAACUGCAAAGAGCAGAACAGUCCAAUAAAGAAACUGAGGGAAAUAUGCAAACUCUAAAGACAGCUCUGGAGCAAAAGGAAACUGAGUAUGCAAAGGUCCUUGCAGAAAAAGACAGUUCUCUGAAUGAGCUUAAUAAGUUGAAAGGUGAACAAGAAGAGAAAUUUCUAGAGAUUCAAACUGCAGCCCUGGUAUUAGAGGAAUCACUAAGAUCUGAAAAGCGGAAGGCAAAAGAACUUGAAGCCUCACUGAGUUCAUUGACUGAGGAACUGAAGAGAACAAGUGGGAAAUUAGGUAAUGUUUUGCUAUACCAAAUGAAGCAUAACACCAAAAACUGGUUUUUAAUUAAAAAUAUUUUAUUUACCAUUGUAGGAGAAGUUGAACAAAAAAAAGAUGAAAAAGAAAGACAAAUGACAGUUCUCAGAGAGGAUAUGGAUAUCAAGGCAAAGAUUUUAACAUCAUUAGAGCAGAAGUUACAAAUGGUGGAGACAAAGGCAUCACAACUUGGUGUGGAUCUUCAGAGUAAAAAUGCUGAAAUUUUUCAGUUACAGGUGAGGUUGUCAGCUCUGAAGAACACCAGCCAUGCAACUCAAUUAACCGAAUGUAUUUUUUUAGUAUUUAAUGAAUACUGGG
RNAcentral lists this long non-coding RNA (921 nucleotides) under Scleropages formosus (Asian bonytongue). RNAcentral describes it as "lncRNA (ENSSFOG00015026868.1)". The record is from RNAcentral. Lineage: Eukaryota; Metazoa; Chordata; Actinopteri; Osteoglossiformes; Osteoglossidae.